This is a non-coding RNA of Lactuca sativa (garden lettuce), 1160 nucleotides long. NCBI's taxonomy places the organism in Eukaryota, Viridiplantae, Streptophyta, Magnoliopsida, Asterales, Asteraceae. The record is from RefSeq and is a predicted model, not a curated record.
UUCCGAUGAAAAUGACUUGAUCCAACGCGCUCUUCACCUCGACUCUCUUCUCCUCGAAGCCGGAAAACGGUCCGAUCGUAAACGGUCAUCCUCACACAAAGUCGCAGUAUGGCCUCUGCCUCCCGAUCUCACGAUCAAGGGCUCGUUUGAGAAGAUUACACCUUUACAAUAUGGAAAGGAUUGAUAAUACUGCUCUCUUGGCAUCAUUAUCAGCUUGCCCUUCUCUCCUUGAUCUGGAAAUGAUAGGUAUGUUGAGUUGAGGCAUACAUUGGAAUCAGUGAGCAAGAAUUGCCCCUUAAUAGAGCGUUUGGUCUUUGAAUCUUCGAAAACAGGGAUCCUUCUGUUUCAUUCAUGCUUGCUAUAAGUCUUGCAAAAUUUUAGGAUAAUUAUGAUUACCAUUUAUUUACAUGUAGAGAUGAUGAUUUGAAAUACCCAACCUGCAAUGAAUUCGUGCGCAGCUGCCCUAGCAUAACUGCCUUGUCACUAAAGGGAUUCAAGCUGCAUGACUACAAGGCUCGUAUGUUGGUGAAUGGGCUUCACAAAUUGAAAUAUGUGGACUUGUCAACGUCUUACUCAUGCACAGGUACUUAAUUUUUUAAGGAACCUUGGUGCCAAACUGCCAAUGGUGGUGGAAACCAUUUGGAGGUCAUGAUUUUACGAGACUGUAUCAAUGCAUCUCAAAGAUGUAAAAGGACUAAAUUGUCCCUAACCCCUCCCGCCAUGGUUCAUGUACUUGAAAUUUAAAAAAUAAAAAAAGUCGUUGGCAGGUUGAAGUUGAGCGCUUUGUGGGAGCUGUUCUUGCGGGAGAAUUCAAGCACUUUAGACAUCUUGUGAGUAAAAAUACUCGUCCUCUGAUGAUUUAAUAAAUUUGUGAUAUAGUAUAAUAUAACUCUUACAAAUUACAACUUCAGUCCCUUUUUCCAAUCUUUAAAGUUUAAAUUGGGUUACCUUAUUCCUUAAAACAGGACAUAUCCAACCGAUAGAUGUUAUAGUGCAAGGUAUACUGAUUUAUCCUGUUUCCUUUUCUUUUAUAUGGAUUUUAUAAAUAAUUAAUACAUUAAAUAUGUGAUUACAAAUGCUAUAGUUUCAAUAUAUUAUACUGUAUAAAGCAAUUCGAGAUAUUGUAAACAUCUAAAUACUUUCGGCCUGUUUUCUUUUUA